UACAGAGGUCCCAAGCGUUGUUCGGAUUUACUGGGCGUAAAGGGUGCGUAGGCGGUUGGGUAAGUCUGAUGUGAAAUCUCCAGGCUCAACUUGGAAAUGGCAUCGGAAACUAUCCAGCUAGAGAGUUGCAGGGGGGACUGGAAUUCUCGGUGUAGCAGUGAAAUGCGUAGAUAUCCAGAGGAACACCGGUGGCGAAGGCAAGUCCCUGGGCAUCCACUGACGCUCAGGCACGAAAGCGUGGGGAGCAAACAGG
RNAcentral lists this ribosomal RNA (253 nucleotides) under uncultured bacterium. RNAcentral describes it as "partial 16S ribosomal RNA". It matches the Rfam family "Bacterial small subunit ribosomal RNA", at positions 524 to 776 of the family's 1533-position model. The record is from RNAcentral.